UUAAUUGAAACCAAAAUAGAGGUAUAUUAUUGUUAAUAAUAUCAUUGAAUAUGAUUUCCAAUUAAG
Molecule: transfer RNA, 66 nt
Filed under: Xenogryllus marmoratus
Lineage: Eukaryota; Metazoa; Arthropoda; Insecta; Orthoptera; Gryllidae
Description: tRNA-Asn
Source: RNAcentral